Molecule: ribosomal RNA, 440 nt
Filed under: uncultured bacterium
Lineage: Bacteria
Description: bacterial SSU rRNA
Rfam family: Bacterial small subunit ribosomal RNA
Source: RNAcentral
AUUGAACGCUGGCGGCAGGCCUAACACAUGCAAGUCGAGCGGUAGAGAGGUGCUUGCAUCUCUUGAGAGCGGCGGACGGGUGAGUAAUGCCUAGGAAUCUGCCUAGUGGUGGGGGAUAACGUUCGGAAACGGACGCUAAUACCGCAUACGUCCUACGGGAGAAAGCGGGGGGAUCUUCGGACCUCGCGCCAUUAGAUGAGCCUAGGUCGGAUUAGCUAGUUGGUGAGGUAAUGGCUCACCAAGGCGACGAUCCGUAACUGGUCUGAGAGGAUGAUCAGUCACACUGGAACUGAGACACGGUCCAGACUCCUACGGGAGGCAGCAGUGGGGAAUAUUGGACAAUGGGCGAAAGCCUGAUCCAGCCAUGCCGCGUGUGUGAAGAAGGUCUUCGGAUUGUAAAGCACUUAGUUGGAGGAAGGGUAGUAACCUAAUACGUUGCU